GCUUAUACAAGGUAAGGCUUGAGGGAAACCAACUUUCGGGAAACAUAUCAGAAGAUUUUGGAAUAUACCUGAAUUUGAAUUAUAUUGACUUGAGCGACUACAAUUUCUACGGCGAACUCUCACCAAGAUGGGGAAAGCGUAAAAAUUUAACAAGUCUCAAAAUGUCCAACAAUAAUAUUUCUAGAGGGAUACCCCUUGCAUUGGUAGAGGCAACUCAACUUUCUUUACUUGAUCUCUCUUCAAAUCAUUUAGUGGGAGAGAUCCCAACAAAAUUCGAUAGUUUGGUUUCUUUGUUCGACCUUAAGUUGAAUGACAACCAACUAUCAGGUAAUAUUCCUCCAGAACUCGGCGGCCUUCCAAACUUAGUGACUCUAAAUUUGGCAGCUAACAAAUUAAGUGGCUCAAUCCCUCAAGAGCUAGGGGAUUGUAUGCAGCUAUUGAACUUGAGUUUGAGCAAUAAUAGACAUGGGGAAAACAUUCCUUUGGAACUAGGUCAACUCCAUGGCCUUGAAAGUCUUGAUUUUGGUGAUAACUUGUUGUCAAGUAAAAUACCCGAGCAGUUUGGAGCGCUACAAAGGUUGAAAACGCUAAAUCUCUCCCACAAUGAGCUCGAUGGUUUCUUACCAUCUUCUUUUGAUAGUAUGUUGGCUCUUUCAUCAGUUGAUAUAUCUAACAAUCAAAUGGAGGGCCCUCUUCCUCAUAUCAGAGCCUUUCAAGAGGCUCCAUUUGAGUCACUUCGAGGUAAUAAAGGUUUAUGUGGUAAUGCAACUGCUUUGAAGGCCUGCCAACUUCAUGGGGUUCCUAGAAAGAAGGAAAAGAAUUUGGUGUUACUGAUCUCUCUUCUCUCUUCUGGUUUUGGGAUUUCAAGUUCUUUCCCUCAUGGUUCUCGGACUUUGCUUGUCUUUUAGAAAGAAAAUCAAGAGCACAACAAAUGAGCCAAGCCAAUUAAAUAAUGGAAAUUUGUUUGCAAUAUGGAGUUAUGAUGGCAAGAUGGUGUACGAUAACAUCGUUGAAGUGACGGAGAACUUUAGUGUCAAAUAUUGCAUUGGGGAAGAAGGAUGUGGUACUGUUUAUAAAGCUACCAUGCCAAAUGGUCAAUUAGUUGCCGUGAAGAAACUUCACGCAUUAUCUAAUGGUGACUCAUUUAACCAAAAGGGCUUUACGAGUGAGAUCAAUACAUUAACAGAGAUAAGGCACCACAACAUCGUAAAGCUUUACGGAUUUUGUUUGCAUCCAAGACACUCGUUUUUGGUUUAUGAGUUCUUGCAAGGUGGAAGCUUGGCAAACGUACUUGCCUCGAAAAAAGAAGCAGAAAAUUUAGAUUGGAACAAAAGAGUGGAUGUUAUUAAGGGUUUGGCAGAUGCUCUAUCUUAUAUGCACCACGAUUGUUCGCCUCCAAUCAUCCAUCGCGACAUAUCGAGCAAGAAUUUUUUGUUUGAUUCGCAGUACGUGGCUCACAUCUCUAAUUUUGGGACGACCAAAUUUAUGAAGCCAGACUCUUCCAAUUGGACUUCAUUUGUAGGAACCUUCGUUUAUGCUGGUCCUGAACUUGCAUAUACAAUGGAAGUGAAUGAGAAGUGCGACAUUUACAGUUUUGGGGUGCUGGCACUAGAAGUGAUUAUUGGGGAGCAUCCACGUGAUCUCAUCUCAUCUCUAUCAUCAUCUUCGUCGCCGUCGUCGUCAUCAUCAAAAACUGGACAUGGGAUUUUAUUCAAGGAUGUGUUGGACCAACGCCUGCCGCCUCCUACAAAUCAAGUGGCAGAACAAAUAGUGGUUGCUGCAAAAGUAGCAUUUGCAUGUUUGAAUGCUAGACCGCUUUCUCGACCAACCAUGCAGCAAGUUGCUAGGACGAUGUCAAAUCCAAAGCCAUCUCUGCAAAAUCAGUUACACAUGAUUACAUUAGGAGAACUCGUUGGUGCCAACAGCUUCACUUCUUGAGUUUCCUUGGACUUAAGCUCUUGCACUCGUUUUGAAUGGAGGAAGCUUGGGACAUAUUCUCAGCUUGGAGGAAGAAGCAGUAGAGUCGUUAUAUUGGAUUAAGACAAUGGAUGUUGUUGAAGUGUGGCAAAUGUUGUCUUACAUGCACCGCAAUCGUUUUCUUCCAAUCACUCUUCGAGACUUGUCAAGGAAGAAUGUUUUGAUAGAUUCAAAGUACGUAGCUCACAUCUCUGAUUGCGGCACCGCGAAAGUCAUGAAGAGUGACCCAUCUAAUUGGACUUCAUUUGCAGGGACUUUUGGAUACGCUGCUCCACGUAGCUCAAAAGAGAUCAAGACAUUAAUUCUUCUGACCGUUGAGCCGUAUAAGAGAAAGCAUAGAGUAAAUGAGAUGAACGUUGGUCAUUUACAAUAGAAGACUUUGUGGGUUUUUACUCUUGGUUAUUUAAAGGAUAAGUCUUCAUCAGAGAGGUAGCCAGAUUGAUUGAGAAGAAAGAGCCUUCAAAGGAUUCAAUCAUUCAAACACUCAAAGAAUUCCAGUCUGAUAUAUACAUUGUAGUUUUAUCCUCUUCAGACUUCAGAGAGAGCAUUCACUGUAGAAUUUUAUACUCUCAUUUGUUUGAGCCUACACUUGUAAAUCACCCUUCCUUAGAGGGAUUGAUCAUCACCACACUUAUCCUACCUUGUGAGAGAGAGAACCCAAUCCACUGUGUUGCCAGUUAGGAUUUGAGUUUCUUGCUUGAUUUGAGAAGUGUGCGCUCACUAGGUGUGAGUGUGCCAAGAGUUUGAGGAAUUGGUCUGUGUGUAUCAGUUGGAAUUGUGAAAUCAGGUCUGCGUGUACCUGAUUUGUGGUCUGCGUGUACCACUGAGUCUGUGAAGCGUCAUGGUCUGUGUGUACCAGAAGAAGUAUUGUGAAGGAGUGUUGGCUCCUGUAAAAUCUAACCCUGUAGUAAGUUCUGAGAACAUAGUGGAUGCCAGUGAUUGUUCAAGGGAAACAAUCAUUGAAGAGUGGACUAAGCAAUUAGCCGAACCACUAUAAAAAUCCUCAGACUCUUCUCGUACUUAUU
RNA transcript from Rhododendron vialii, 3002 nucleotides. It is a transcript of the gene named MDIS1-interacting receptor like kinase 2-like, with no coding region annotated. The transcript is spliced from 4 exons. The record is from RefSeq and is a predicted model, not a curated record. NCBI's taxonomy places the organism in Eukaryota, Viridiplantae, Streptophyta, Magnoliopsida, Ericales, Ericaceae.